Molecule: ribosomal RNA, 423 nt
Filed under: uncultured bacterium
Lineage: Bacteria
Description: bacterial SSU rRNA
Rfam family: Bacterial small subunit ribosomal RNA
Source: RNAcentral
AAGACCUUGCGCUUUUGGAGCGGCCGAUGCCUGAUUAGCUUGUUGGCAAGGUAAAAGCUUACCAAGGCUUCGAUCAGUAGCUGGUCUGAGAGGACGGCCAGCCACACUGGGACUGAGACACGGCCCAGACUCCUACGGGAGGCAGCAGUGGGGAAUUUUGGACAAUGGGGGCAAGCCUGAUCCAGCCAUGCCGCGUGAGUGAAGAAGGCCUUCGGGUUGUAAAGCUCUUUCAGCCGGAACGAAACGGUUACGGUUAAUACCUGUGAUUACUGACGGUACCGGAAGAAGAAGCACCGGCUAACUACGUGCCAGCAGCCGCGGUAAUACGUAGGGUGCGAGCGUUAAUCGGAAUUACUGGGCGUAAAGCGUGCGCAGGUGGUUUUGUAAGUCAGAUGUGAAAGCCCCGGGCUCAACCUGGGAACU